Molecule: ribosomal RNA, 485 nt
Filed under: uncultured bacterium
Lineage: Bacteria
Description: bacterial SSU rRNA
Rfam family: Bacterial small subunit ribosomal RNA
Source: RNAcentral
GAGUUUGAUCCUGGCUCAGGAUGAACGCUGGCGGCGUGGAUCAGGCAUGCAAGUCUAACGGGCCUCGUAAGAGGUCAGUGGCAAACGGGAGAGCAACACGUAAGCAUCUACCUUUAACUUGAGGAUAACUCCGAGAAAUCGGAACUAAUACUCAAUGGUCCUGUAAGCUUUCGAGCUUAUUGGUAAAGAUUUUUCGGUUAGAGAAGAGCUUGCGUCCUAUCAGCUAGUUGGUGAGGUAAUGGCUUACCAAGGCGAUGACGGGUAGCUGGUUUGAGAGAACAACCAGCCUCAUUGGGACUGAGACACUGCCCCAAACUCCUACGGGAGGCUGCAGUCGAGAAUCUUCGUCAAUGCCCGAAAGGGUGAACGAGCGACGCCGCGUGAUUGAUGAAGCCCUUCGGGUGUAAGAUCUUUCUAGGGAAGAACAAAUGACGGUACCCUAGGAAUAAGACCUUGGCUAACCUCGUGCCAGCCGCCGCAGUAAG